Molecule: long non-coding RNA, 876 nt
Filed under: Vigna radiata
Lineage: Eukaryota; Viridiplantae; Streptophyta; Magnoliopsida; Fabales; Fabaceae
Description: long non-coding RNA (VRAD_LNC013534)
Source: RNAcentral
UGCAACAACACACGAUGAACCUGAAAGAGGAAAACGAGCGACCUCGACGCUUUGAAUUUCUACCAGACAUACUACCAUGCAAGAUGAAAAAGAGAGCAAAUUCAUAACUUUAAAAGACGCUGAGAGUGCGUAGGAGUUCCAAUGAAGGCAUCGUUGAUGGCGUGGUGGUUGUCUGACAAAGACAUUCAAAACCAUGUGAUCGUCGGUCGUAACUAGAAUUCCAGUAUUGACCACGGCAGCGGUAGAUGGCGUUACCGUCGACAGCAGCAAAUGUAGUGGCAGGGGCAACAAAAAAAAAUUUUUACUCAAGAGAACCUGACUCUAGAUACCAUGUUGAAUAUAGUGAAAAAUAUAUAUGGGAUUAAUCUUGCUUGUGUUGAAUAUACAUAUAGGACUAAGUCCAAAAUACAAAUAAGAAAUAAUAAUAAACUAAGUAAAGGUAAAAGAUAAAUAUAAAAUAAAGAUAACAUAUCUAACAUAAAAGAAGGAAAAAAAAAAAGGAAGAGAUGAACCAGGCAUACGUGCAAUUUUAGGGUUCAGAGGGAUUUUUACAGGAAGGAAGAAUUUAGGCACAUAGGGUUUUGGAAUUGGAGGAAAAAAUUAGAGGGAAGAAAUGUAAAAAAGAUUAGGAAAUAAAGAAAGAAAAUAUAUUGUUAUUUGAAGUGGAUAUAAACCUCUCUUAAAAACAAUUAAAACUCUCACUAUUAUUAUCAUUAGAUAAUUUAAGUUAAACAUCUUAAAUUAUGUUAAUUUGAGGGGUUUUUUAUAACUUCUGCAAAAUAACCUCCUCUAAAUAAGUUUUUUCUUUUUUUUAUUUUGUAGUGUAUGGUUCUCCAAGCAUCUCUUACUCUCCACCUCCAAUGAUUUAUUUGGUUG